GCAGGCUCUCGGGGCGCGCGCGCUCCCGCGUGAGGCGAGUGCACGCGCGUCCUCCCGCCCUCCGGUGCUUGAAGGUGCAGGAAGAGGGCAGUGGCUGCCGGUCCUAGCCUCCGCCACAUUUGAGUCCAGACUGAGGGGUACGGAAGAAGAGCCUUGAGCCCCUCGCUGGGCUGGGUAGUGAGACUGCCACCCGUCCCGCCCUAGCGUCAUACCUGAAUCUGAGGCUGGUUCUGAAUGAUGGUCCAGCGUGUGGCCCCCUUCGCUUGACACGGGCCUCACCACAGCGCCCUGCUCAGCCUUUGGGUUAUUAAAGCGCUCAAGCCGCGCCGUUUGCCAAGUCACCGCACACCCCGGCUUCCGCCGGAACCCGAUCUCUGGAAACUGUAAAGGGAAGGCGAAGCCAUGUCUACCCCUUCCCAAGAAGUCUUUGAGACCUUGACACUGAGAACACUUUCCCCCGUUUUAAUGCAAGCACUUUGCAGAUUAUUAGUGCUGGAGCCUGAGGCAUGAAUGCCGCAGACCUUUUCCAGGUGUUUGUUCAGGUCUGUUGGGUUGAUUUUUUUUUUAUCUAUGCUGAGACGGAAAGAAUUCUGCAAUUUUCCACCAUUUCCACGUGUCCUAGGCAUUUUCGGAGGAGUCACAGAGUCUCCUUUUACGAGCUUUAUCUUUUCCCAAGGGAGGAGAUCUCUGCUCUGUCUGAACUGACACUUAGGCUUCCUGGCUUCUUAGAGAAUAGAUCCACUUAGAGAAUAAAUCUGCUCAAGUGUAAUCAAGACCUAAAUCCUAUCCUUAUAUCCGCUGCUGCACCCAGCCCAAGACCGUAUAUGCAGUAGAUGUGCUGUAAAAAUGUUCUCCCAAUAGAAGAAACACAAACUCAUCUGGAAGCCAAAAGGCCCAUUCAUCAGCCCACUGAUGUGCUCCAUACAGAUGAGUUUCUCUGAACAGAGAGCAAGGAAAAGGGUAGAGAAU
Bos taurus (domestic cattle) is the source of this 969-nucleotide long non-coding RNA. Lineage: Eukaryota; Metazoa; Chordata; Mammalia; Artiodactyla; Bovidae. The record is from Ensembl.